This 240-nucleotide unclassified non-coding RNA is filed under the name soil metagenome. Its description in RNAcentral is "partial contains 5.8S ribosomal RNA, internal transcribed spacer 2, and large subunit ribosomal RNA". The record is from RNAcentral.
AACCUUAUGGACCUGCGGGCGUAUACCUGCGGAAGGAUCAUUACCAGUACCACCGUCGCCUCCGGGCGUCGGUCUACUACCAACCCUUUGUCAUCCGACCUCGUUGCCUCCGGGUGCGACCCUGACCUUCGGGUCUCGCGUCUCCCCGGGUGGACACACAUCAAAACUCUGCAUAACUUUGUUGUCUGAGUAAAACUUUUAAUUAAAUUAAAACUUUUAACAAUGGAUCUCAGAUCGGAA